CAGGGACACUCAAACUGAUGCCAGAAAGGCAGGGUUUUGUUUAGUUUUUGUGACUGAUUGUGCUCUAGUUCUUCUGAACUGCAACAACGUAUGAACUGAAGUUCUGAAGGAAACGUGAAACUAAUUCAGAAAAAUGAGCAGAGUAAAGACUGUGAGAAAUAGAGUACAGAGAAAAAGUGUCAAAACUAACUGGAAUACCAGAGAAAAGUGUACGGAGCUCACCAGGAGAAACAGUAUGAAUGGAAUGAGACCCUGUCUGUCUCAUGAUGAUGCAGACAAACCUGUGAAGUGUCAUUCUGAUUUGUCAGAGAGGAUCAAAUAUGACCGAUUACAGCACAUUAAAACCUCCUGGACCCGUCCUCCUGACAGCAUUGUUCAAUUUUCUGUUGUCAAACACACCAGCCAGAUAUGAUUAAAACUCAAUAUUUAAAAAUCACAAUACAGAGUGUUU
This 451-nucleotide long non-coding RNA is filed under the name Sinocyclocheilus anshuiensis. Its description in RNAcentral is "lncRNA (ENSSANG00000036950.1)". The record is from RNAcentral. Lineage: Eukaryota; Metazoa; Chordata; Actinopteri; Cypriniformes; Cyprinidae.